RNAcentral lists this ribosomal RNA (253 nucleotides) under uncultured bacterium. RNAcentral describes it as "partial 16S ribosomal RNA". It matches the Rfam family "Bacterial small subunit ribosomal RNA", at positions 524 to 776 of the family's 1533-position model. The record is from RNAcentral.
UACGUAGGGGGCAAGCGUUGUCCGGAAUCAUUGGGCGUAAAGGGCGUGUAGGCGGCCAGGUAAGUCGGUUCUGAAAGCCCGGGGCUCAACCCCGGGAGGCGGAUGGAUACUGUUUGGCUCGAGUCCGGAAGAGGCGAGUGGAAUUCCCGGUGUAGCGGUGAAAUGCGCAGAUAUCGGGAGGAACACCAAUGGCGAAGGCAGCGCGCUGGGACGGUACUGACGCUGAGACGCGAAAGCGUGGGGAGCAAACAGG